This 497-nucleotide ribosomal RNA is filed under the name uncultured bacterium. Its description in RNAcentral is "partial 16S ribosomal RNA". It matches the Rfam family "Bacterial small subunit ribosomal RNA", at positions 28 to 507 of the family's 1533-position model. The record is from RNAcentral.
GAUGAACGCUGGCGGCGUGCCUAAUACAUGCAAGUCGAGCGCACGGACGAGAAGCUUGCUUCUCUGAUGUUAGCGGCGGACGUGCGAGUAACACGUUGAUAACCUACCUAUAAGACUGGGAUAACUUCGGGAAACCGGAGCUAAUACCGGAUAAUAUUUUGAACUUCAUUGUUCAAAAGUGAAAGACGGUCUUGCUGUCACUUAUAGAUGGAUCCGCGCUGCAUUAUCUAGUUGGUAAGGUAACGGCUUACCAAGGCAACGAUGCAUAGCCGACCUGAGAGGGGGUUCGGCCACACUGGAACUGGACCACGGUCCAGACUCCUACGGGAGGCAGCAGUAGGGAAUCUUCGGCAAUGGGCGAAAGCCUGACGGGGCAACGCGGCGGGAGUGAUGAAGUUUUCCGGAUCGUAAAACUCGGUUAUUAGGGAAGAACAUAUGUGUAAGUAACUGUGCACAUCUUGACGGUACCUAAUCAGAAAGCCACGGCUAACUACGUG